Molecule: ribosomal RNA, 508 nt
Filed under: uncultured bacterium
Lineage: Bacteria
Description: partial 16S ribosomal RNA
Rfam family: Bacterial small subunit ribosomal RNA
Source: RNAcentral
UGGGGAAUAUUGGACAAUGGGGGCAACCCUGAUCCAGCAAUGCCGCGUGUGUGAAGAAGGUCUUCGGAUUGUAAAGCACUUUCGACGGGGACGAUGAUGACGGUACCCGUAGAAGAAGCCCCGGCUAACUUCGUGCCAGCAGCCGCGGUAAUACGAAGGGGGCUAGCGUUGCUCGGAAUGACUGGGCGUAAAGGGCGUGUAGGCGGUUUACACAGUCAGAUGUGAAAUCCCCGGGCUUAACCUGGGAGCUGCAUUUGAUACGUGUAGACUAGAGUGUGAGAGAGGGUUGUGGAAUUCCCAGUGUAGAGGUGAAAUUCGUAGAUAUUGGGAAGAACACCGGUGGCGAAGGCGGCAACCUGGCUCAUGACUGACGCUGAGGCGCGAAAGCGUGGGGAGCAAACAGGAUUAGAUACCCUGGUAGUCCACGCUGUAAACGAUGUGUGCUAGAUGUUGGGUAACUUUGUUAUUCAGUGUCGCAGUUAACGCGUUAAGCACACCGCCUGGGGAG